This 526-nucleotide ribosomal RNA is filed under the name uncultured soil bacterium. Its description in RNAcentral is "bacterial SSU rRNA". It matches the Rfam family "Bacterial small subunit ribosomal RNA", at positions 33 to 541 of the family's 1533-position model. The record is from RNAcentral.
AGGACGAACGCUGGCGGCGUGCUUAACACAUGCAAGUGGGGCGACGAACCAGGCUUCGGCCUGGGGCAAAGCCGCGAACGGGUGAGUAACACGUGGAUAACCUGCCCCGAAGACCGGGACAACCCGGGGAAACCCGGGCUAAUACCGGAUGUGGUCACCGUCCAUAAGGACGAUGAGCAAAGGAAGCUUCGGCCUCCGCUUCGGGAGGGGUCCGCGGCCCAUUAGCUUGUUGGUGAGGUAACGGCUCACCAAGGCAACGAUGGGUAGCUGGUCUGAGAGGACGAUCAGCCACACUGGGACUGAGACACGGCCCAGACUCCUACGGGAGGCAGCAGUGGGGAAUCUUGCGCAAUGCGCGAAAGCGUGACGCAGCAACGCCGCGUGGGUGAAGAAGGCUUUCGGGUCGUAAAGCCCUUUCAGCAGGACGAAGCUUCGGCAGCGAAUAGCUGUCCGGAGUGACGAGUACCGUGCGAAGAAGACCGACAACCGGACCAACGUACCGAGCCCAAGCCGACGGACCGUACGG